GACCUUAGACAAGCACAAAACAGAGAAAUACCAACACAACAAUCACUCACUAGCUUCUGGUCUGCCAUGUGGUCAGUACCAGUUAUACACAACCAGAAAGCCUGCUGGAUUGCAGAAGAGGAGAUACACUCAUUAAACAUACCAGAAAUGCCCUACACCGCCAUUACAACAGAAGAACUCACAAACACAACAAGAUGCACACACAACUGGAAAGCCCCUGGUGUAGAUGCCAUCCAGAAUUUUUGGAACAAACAUUUUACUUGUCUUCAUGAGUUACUGGCCAAACAUCUCGCACAUCUCAUACAUGAAUCAA
RNAcentral lists this long non-coding RNA (313 nucleotides) under Androctonus crassicauda. Lineage: Eukaryota; Metazoa; Arthropoda; Arachnida; Scorpiones; Buthidae. The record is from RNAcentral.